RNAcentral lists this ribosomal RNA (473 nucleotides) under Amphora fusca. RNAcentral's name for it is "eukaryotic LSU rRNA". It matches the Rfam family "Eukaryotic large subunit ribosomal RNA", at positions 50 to 548 of the family's 3401-position model. The record is from RNAcentral. Lineage: Eukaryota; Bacillariophyta; Bacillariophyceae; Surirellales; Surirellaceae.
GCAGAGGAAAAGAAACUAACAAAGAUUCCCCUAGUAAUGGCGAGUGAAGCGGGAGUAGCUCACAUUGUGAAUCUGUAGCAGAAUUGUGGUUUGUAGAUGCUUGCACUAUGUAGGUUGGAUGAUGUCCCUUGGAAAAGGGCAGUACAGAGGGUGAGACUCCUGUUUAUCUGGCUAAUAGAGUAUGUUUCAAUGAGUUGAGUUGUUUGGGAAUGCAGCUCUAAGUGGGUGGUAAAUUCCAUCUAAAGCUAAAUAUUGCUGGCAAACUGAUAGUGCACAAGUACCAUGAGGGAAAGAUGCAAAGCCGCGCGAAAGCGCUGUUAAAGAGUACCUGAAAUUGCUGAAAAUGAAGUGAAGGUAACCAGUGAAAGUGUGGUCAUAAUUCCCUAUCUGCUUGCAAGUAGGGCGCUGUGUCCAGCCUUGCCAAUAGAUAUUGUGAACUGCAAGAAAUAUGUAGGAGUUGACUCUUUCAAUGA